UGCUUAUGCUGCUAAUGCUGCCACGGCGGGAGCCAUGGACACUGUUAGGUGAGGAGUUCGGGCUCGUAUGAGAACCCAAGGCCUCUCUGCUGGCACUAGUGAGUUUGCCUAAAAAUUACACACAGGUCAUAUCUGAAAACCAAGUUGAAAUAAUCUGCUGAAAAAGACACACAGGAACCUAUGACAAUCAAGGCUGCAAGUCAGAAUUUGGGUCUUCACUGUAAACCUGCUCCAUCCUAGAAGGAGCUAGAGAGCAGACUGUUGAGAAGCACCUACUUGGCUUGUGCCUAGAAGCAUUCUCACGCUGGAGCUUGCACAGUUAUAGAACAGCAUGUGCAACAACAGGUACCUUAAUGUUGCCCAUGUUUUGUGCUUAACUGAGCUGUUUGGAGAGUUCAGUUUAUUUAUUUCAACAGAAAAUAUGGUGUCCUCUCCAAUGUGCUGAAUGAGGAAAUUAAAGUUUGACAGGUUUCUUAAAGGCCUGUGGCUGAAUUUCUUUAAUGUCAGCAUGUGGACAGCCAUGGCAAAGACUGGAAAUACAUGCAAUAGUUUCAAAUGUCAAGAACCUUGGCAGUUUUAAUUCCUUGAGCUUAUAUCUUCAUAAUUAUGGUACUUGGUAGACUCAAAUACUAAAUAUUAAUUGUAUUUACUAGUAGUAUAUACUACUGCUUCUUCUAGUAACUUUUUUAGGGUUAUGUAACACUCCCAAACCUGAAGAAGGAAUGGAAACAAACAAUGGAGAAAUCAUUUUUACUCUGUUUCACACACAAGUGGCUGAAUGAUGAAUUAAGGACCAAGUUUUCCUCAUAGACAGAAUGUUACCAGCAGCUUUUUUUCUAAUGGCAGAAAGGCAGGACAGAGUUAGCACUGAGUGAGCUAAGGAGAGGAGGAAUUAACAUCACACACCGUACUUACUUGCCAAAGGAAGACCAACAAGUUCCAUGCACUUCUUGCACAUAAUAGACCCACAAAGGCGGCAGUGGUGACGUCGGUUUCGAAUACUGAACUUAUUGCCACAGUCUGGGCAGAAGGGAACAUCCUGGUCACUGACCCAAGGCACAACAGACUUCUCUAUAGCUGUGAUACGGCAAGAGUAGGGAGGAAUACACACAACAUAAAAUAUUCAUUCAAUUAAUUCCUCAGCUGGUUAAACUACAAGAACAAACAAGCUCAUACCAACCUCUUAUUUUGGCUGACUCAGUGUUUGCUCUGUCAAACGAUGUAAGCUAGAAGGAGAUAAACAACACAUUCAAGAACAUGGCACUUUGCAAGAAAAAAAACCAAUACAGUCCAGCCCAGUGGGAAAAAGAAACCUAUAGGUUUGGAGAGACAGAAGUCUCAGCCUGUUCUGCACCCGAUUCCUGCAACUUCCCUAUUUAUUUCUAAUGCAAUAUUCAUGAAGUAGUUCCAAACAAUGACACCAAACCUGUACAAAUCAGAGCAUUUUGGACAUAAUCCUUACAGCAUCCAGCACUAUCUGAGACAAAAUGCAAGUAUAUCAUUGGUAGAUUUUGAAGAAUGGAAAGCUGGAAGAAUCAUGACAAACAAAUCAGGGAGAAAUAUAGCCACUGAUGAAGAAAAUAUAUGGGGAAAGAAACAGUUCCUGAAGCAGGUGGAUGUAGUAUCUUCAUCUUGAAACUAGUGCACAAAACAGAAGUCAAAUCCACAGUAUGGGCUCAGACCAAGCACAGUACUCAAGGAUAAAAAAGGAAAACAGUAAUGUGUGAACAGAGUGUUAGUUUAGUAUCCUUUAUAAAAGUGGCUGCUAGAUAAAUGGGCACACUUCAUACUAAAGAUAUAUUAAAUAUUAAAAAUAUUAAAAGCAUCAAAUUUA
Long non-coding RNA from Pezoporus occidentalis (night parrot), 1834 nucleotides. RefSeq lists it as uncharacterized. The transcript has 2 exons. The record is from RefSeq and is a predicted model, not a curated record. Lineage: Eukaryota; Metazoa; Chordata; Aves; Psittaciformes; Psittacidae.